CACUCAACGGAGGAGCAUCUGAUAUGAUUAAACAUACAUGGGCAAGGAGCAGGCCAAGAUAACCAGAAGCGACAUGAAAGAUGAGAGUCCACUUUUAAUGUGUGCCUGGAGGACACCCGAUUGCCCGGGAAAGUCUUGUUUUCCCUGUGCUUGUCACGCGAGUCCUUUUUACUCCUGCCUCCACCGCCCUCGGUGUCUUACCGCAACUCUGACCCGAAUCUCUCUCUUUUGACAAGGAUGAUCCUGAGCAGUCUGUGACAGCAGGUGUCAAAAGAUAUGAUGCUGCAGAUUAAAAGGUUGGCUUGUUAUUAUGACAUGAGUUGCCCAUGGUCAAAGGAUGUGUAACCCAGCUUUCCUGUAUCAAAAGCCCAACAACACACAUGGAUGUGAUCACGACACCAUCUGGAUAGACCUAUAUCCAUAAAUGGCUGGGAAUCAUAAGGAGGAUCUGUUCAUUGUUAACAGUGUCUCAGUGUCCUCACUGUUAAACGAGUCACCCUGACACACUCAUCUGGAGUCCAUUGAGAAUACACAUAAUUUGCAAGAAAGUGCAAUAAGCCGAUGUCAUGUCUAACUCUGCUGUUAAUCCAUUAUGGCUCAAGGCCCAGAGAGCUACAGUAUACUGUUGGCACGGAACUAUAGCUAGAUCUCAGAGACCAGUAGAGGUCCCAGUAGUGAGAAUGAAAAAAUAAUGUAAUUCUUUAGCCAGAAGAGGGCAGCAAUGUAGCCUCUACUACCAUUUUGCAUAGAGCAUGUCUUUAUGGUGGCCACAAACUCUAUCUAGUCCUCAGUUGUGUAAACUACUUAAGUAAAAAAAACAUUUUUUUUUAAAGUACUACUUAAGUAGUUUUUUGGGGGUAUCUGUACUUUAGUUUGCUAUUUAUAUUUUUUGCCAACUUUUGCUCCGCUACAUUAAAGAAAAUAAUGUACUUUUUACUCAAUACAUUUUCCCUGACACUCAAAAGUACUCGUUACAUUUUGACACGAAAAUGGUCCAAUUCGCACACUUAUGAAGAGAUCAUCCCUGGUCAUCCCUAAUGCCUCUGAUCUGACGAACUCACUAAACAUAAAUGCUUCGUUUGUAAAUUAUGUCUGAGUGUUGGAGUGGGCUCCUGCUUAUCUGUCAAUAAAAAAAUAAAAUCGUG
RNAcentral lists this long non-coding RNA (1145 nucleotides) under Salmo salar (Atlantic salmon). RNAcentral describes it as "lncRNA (ENSSSAG00000105527.1)". The record is from RNAcentral. Lineage: Eukaryota; Metazoa; Chordata; Actinopteri; Salmoniformes; Salmonidae.